RNAcentral lists this ribosomal RNA (245 nucleotides) under uncultured archaeon. RNAcentral describes it as "partial 16S ribosomal RNA". It matches the Rfam family "Archaeal small subunit ribosomal RNA", at positions 474 to 718 of the family's 1478-position model. The record is from RNAcentral.
CACCGGCAGCUCAAGUGGUGGCCGUUUUUAUUGGGCCUAAAGCGUUCGUAGCCGGCCUGAUAAGUCUCUGGUGAAAUCCCAUAGCUUAACUAUGGGAAUUGCUGGAGAUACUAUCAGGCUUGAGGUCGGGAGAGGUUAGGGGUACUCCCAGGGUAGGGGUGAAAUCCUAUAAUCCUGGGAGGACCACCUGUGGCGAAGGCGCCUAACUGGAACGAACCUGACGGUGAGUAACGAAAGCCAGGGGC